This 507-nucleotide ribosomal RNA is filed under the name uncultured bacterium. RNAcentral's name for it is "partial 16S ribosomal RNA". It matches the Rfam family "Bacterial small subunit ribosomal RNA", at positions 29 to 507 of the family's 1533-position model. The record is from RNAcentral.
ACGAACGCUGGCGGCGUGCCUAAUACAUGCAAGUCGAACGCCUCUUUCCUCCCGAGUGCUUGCACUCAAUUGGAAAGAGGAGUGGCGGACGGGUGAGUAACACGUGGGUAACCUACCCAUCAGAGGGGGAUAACACUUGGAAACAGGUGCUAAUACCGCAUAACAGUUUAUGCCGCAUGGCAUAAGAGUGAAAGGCGCUUUCGGGUGUCGUUGAUGGAUGGACCCGCGGUGCAUUAGCUAGUUGGUGAGGUAACGGCUCACCAAGGCCACGAUGCAUAGCCGACCUGAGAGGGUGAUCGGCCACACUGGGACUGAGACACGGCCCAGACUCCUACGGGAGGCAGCAGUAGGGAAUCUUCGGCAAUGGACGAAAGUCUGACCGAGCAACGCCGCGUGAGUGAAGAAGGUUUUCGGAUCGUAAAACUCUGUUGUUAGAGAAGAACAAGGACGUUAGUAACUGAACGUCCCCUGACGGUAUCUAACCAGAAAGCCACGGCUAACUACGUG